This 467-nucleotide ribosomal RNA is filed under the name uncultured bacterium. RNAcentral's name for it is "partial 16S ribosomal RNA". It matches the Rfam family "Bacterial small subunit ribosomal RNA", at positions 28 to 507 of the family's 1533-position model. The record is from RNAcentral.
GACGAACGCUGGCGGCGUGCUUAACACAUGCAAGUCGAACGGAAAGGCCCUGCUUUUGUGGGGUGCUCGAGUGGCGAACGGGUGAGUAACACGUGAGUAACCUGCCCUUGACUUUGGGAUAACUUCAGGAAACUGGGGCUAAUACCGGAUAGGAGCUCCUGCUGCAUGGUGGGGGUUGGAAAGUUUCGGCGGUUGGGGAUGGACUCGCGGCUUAUCAGCUUGUUGGUGGGUAGUGGCUUACCAAGGCUUUGACGGGUAGCCGGCCUGAGAGGGUGACCGGCCACAUUGGGACUGAGAUACGGCCCAGACUCCUACGGGAGGCAGCAGUGGGGAAUAUUGAAAAAUGGGCGGAAGCCUGAUGCAGCAACGCCGCGUGCGGGAUGACGGCCUUCGGGUUGUAAACCGCUUUCGCCUGUGACGAAGCGUGAGUGACGGUAAUGGGUAAAGAAGCACCGGCUAACUACGUG